Molecule: RNA transcript, 1464 nt
Organism: Passer domesticus (house sparrow)
Lineage: Eukaryota; Metazoa; Chordata; Aves; Passeriformes; Passeridae
Exons: 2
Source: RefSeq, a predicted model, not a curated record
UCUUCCAUGUGGUCUGACCGCACUGUUGGAAGACUUCUGAGAUCUCUGCAUGCUCCUGAACAUAUUGUGGUGGUGCCUUUGUGGCUUCCAGCCACUGGUACCCACUGAUGGAGGUCUGAGGUCACAGAAAUCUUGCAAUAGGGUGUCAGAUCUGUCACCAGGCUUGAGAUGUUGCUUUAAGGAGACAAAUAGGUGGGGGUUUAUGGGUUUUGAGAAUGUAAUCCUCCUCCUGUUUUCUGGCUGUUGGAAACUCUGCAGAUGACAGUCAAAAGAAUAUAAACUCAGCCAAGUUCCUGAGAAGAAUUCCUUGGGCCCUUGGCCCCUGAAGGCUCUGCUAUUACUGGAGGGCUCAAGAGAAGGACACUUAUGGCAAGACUACCAUGAAGGCCUGAAAAACUUUCUUUCCUUUAGAGACAGCAGGUCUCUGUCUGCAGUCUGGCCAAUUCCAGUGGAACAAAUUAGAAGGUUUCUGGUCGCCAUGGAGUUCCAGGAUCUGCCUCCCACAAAAAUAAUCACGUAUAUGGAAGGCCUGUCCUUCAUCUCCAGAAUGGUAGAUCAUCCUGCUCCUCUUUCAGAUCCUCUUGUCUGUUACAUGAUAUCAAGGCUGAAACGGAGGACUAGCCAUUCAAAUGUUGAAUACUCUCCUGUAACAAUUGAAGUGUUAAGAUCUCUCCUGGGAACUCUGGAGUCUGUGUGUAGCUGUCCUUAUGAGUGUAUAUUGUUCCGUGCCAUUUUUACUGUAGCUUUUUUUGGUGUACUCCAUAUAGAAGAGAUGGUGGUAAAUCGCCAAAAUAUAGCACAGCCAGACCUCCUGUACCUGAGUGACCUCCAGAUGACAGAAGGAAGUGCAACCCUUUUUCUGCAUCCAUCUCAUGUGGGCCAACAGAGAUGCUUGAUCCGACUGAGCCUACGUAGAGAGACGUGGGUCUGUCCUGUUGAAGCUCUCCAUAUCUACGUGAGAGCACGGCCCCCAGGAGAGGGCCCCCUCUUUGUGCACUCAGACAGUAGGGCUGUCACAAGGAGGGAGUUCCUCACUGUCUUCCGCUCUGGUCUCAGUUUUGCUGGACUUCCUCCAAACCAGUAUGCAGUGCAUUCCUUCUGGAUGGGGAACUCUAACAGGAGAAUCUCACGGGUAAGCCCAGAACGUGAUUAAUAGAAUGGCAAGGUGGUGGUGGAGAUUCUGAAAGACACAUACUUCUGUCUCUGUUGCACUUUCACAGUAGAAGGUAUCUUCUGCAAUGCACAAAUUUUAUACUUUAUAUAGGCUAAAUUUUCACUGCUCUGUAAAGCUAGAGAGAAUGGGAGGAACAAGUGGAAGGUGACUUCACACCUGGGGUGGUUUUGAGAAUGAAGUGUCAUGGUUUUAAAAGUGGGACUUGUGGGGCACAUGGUAUUCAGCAUGUUUGUUCUAAUUGCACUUUGACCUUGUGUAAUCUUACAUUAAAUGGUGUUUUCUUUCAAGAA